Molecule: ribosomal RNA, 253 nt
Filed under: uncultured bacterium
Lineage: Bacteria
Description: partial 16S ribosomal RNA
Rfam family: Bacterial small subunit ribosomal RNA
Source: RNAcentral
UACAGGGGGUGCAAACGUUAUCCGGAUUCACUGGGUUUAAAGGGUGCGUAGGUGGGCAGGUAAGUCAGUGGUGAAAUCUCCGGGCUUAACCCGGAAACUGCCAUUGAUACUAUCUGUCUUGAAUACCGUGGAGGUGAGCGGAAUAUGUCAUGUAGCGGUGAAAUGCUUAGAUAUGACAUAGAACACCAAUUGCGAAGGCAGCUCACUACGCGAAUAUUGACACUGAGGCACGAAAGCGUGGGGAUCAAACAGG